RNAcentral lists this long non-coding RNA (251 nucleotides) under Capsella rubella. Its description in RNAcentral is "long non-coding RNA (CRUB_LNC001901)". Lineage: Eukaryota; Viridiplantae; Streptophyta; Magnoliopsida; Brassicales; Brassicaceae. The record is from RNAcentral.
UGGUUUGCCACUAAGAAUGGAUGUUGUCACUCUUAUUUUUCAUUUGUAUGUUUUUUUUUUCUUUUGGCUAACUAUAUAUAUACUCAUCUUUUUGAAAUCAAUCUGAUAAUUUUCACGAACCUUGUAAUAUUUUAACUCAACUUUAUUUAGCGACAUUUCAAAGGAGAUAUCAUCUCUUCUACUUUUGCUAAUUUUGAAGUAAUCAUAUAUAGAAAAGGAUUCUAUAAUUUAGUACUACCCGAGCGUAAUCG